CAGUCGCCACGGGAAUACAGAGGGUGCAAGCGUUAAUCGGAAUUACUGGGCGUAAAGCGCGCGUAGGUGGUUUGUUAAGUUGGAUGUGAAAUCCCCGGGCUCAACCUGGGAACUGCAUCCAAAACUGGCAAGCUAGAGUAUGGUAGAGGGUGGUGGAAUUUCCUGUGUAGCGGUGAAAUGCGUAGAUAUAGGAAGGAACACCAGUGGCGAAGGCGACCACCUGGACUGAUACUGACACUGAGGUGCGAAAGCGUGGGGAGCAAACAGGAUUAGAGACCCCCGUAGUCCCUGUCUCUUAUAC
RNAcentral lists this ribosomal RNA (301 nucleotides) under uncultured bacterium. RNAcentral's name for it is "partial 16S ribosomal RNA". It matches the Rfam family "Bacterial small subunit ribosomal RNA", at positions 509 to 807 of the family's 1533-position model. The record is from RNAcentral.